CAGGGUGUAGCUUAAAACCAAGGCAAAGCACUCGGUUUGGGACCGAGAAGAUGAAGGUUCAAAUCCUUCCAUCCUGA
Molecule: transfer RNA, 77 nt
Filed under: Candidatus Jorgensenbacteria bacterium RIFCSPLOWO2_12_FULL_42_11
Lineage: Bacteria; Candidatus Joergenseniibacteriota
Description: tRNA-Pro
Rfam family: tRNA
About the family: Transfer RNA (tRNA) molecules are approximately 80 nucleotides in length. Their secondary structure includes four short double-helical elements and three loops (D, anti-codon, and T loops). Further hydrogen bonds mediate the characteristic L-shaped molecular structure. tRNAs have two regions of fundamental functional importance: the anti-codon, which is responsible for specific mRNA codon recognition, and the 3' end, to which the tRNAs corresponding amino acid is attached (by aminoacyl-tRNA synthetases). tRNAs cope with the degeneracy of the genetic code in two manners: having more than one tRNA (with a specific anti-codon) for a particular amino acid; and 'wobble' base-pairing, i.e. permitting non-standard base-pairing at the 3rd anti-codon position.
Source: RNAcentral